UACAGAGGAGCCAAGCGUUGUCCGGAUUGACUGGGCGUAAAGCGCACGCAGGCGGUUGCGCGCGUGGGGUGUGAAAUCUGGCCGCUUAACGGCCAGGCGCCAUCCCAUACGGCGCGACUGGAGUGAUGCAGAGGUCGAUGGAAUUGCCGGUGUAGUGGUGAAAUGCGUAGAGAUCGGGCAGGAACACCCAGGGGGAAACCAGUCGACUGGGCAUCUACUGACGCUGAGGUGCGAGAGCGUGGGGGAGCGAACCGG
This 255-nucleotide ribosomal RNA is filed under the name uncultured bacterium. Its description in RNAcentral is "partial 16S ribosomal RNA". It matches the Rfam family "Bacterial small subunit ribosomal RNA", at positions 524 to 776 of the family's 1533-position model. The record is from RNAcentral.